GCCCCCCCUGGGACUGAGACCCGGCCCCAGAUUCCUACGGGAGGCAGCAGUAGGGAAUCUUUCGGCAAUGGGGGCAACCCUGACCGAGCAACGCCGCGUGAGUGAAGAAGGUUUUCGGAUCGUAAAGCUCUGUUGUAAGAGAAGAACUGUGAGAAGAGUGGAAAGUUUCUCACUUGACGGUAUCUUACCAGAAAGGGACGGCUAACUACGUGCCAGCAGCCGCGGUAAUACGUAGGUCCCGAGCGUUGUCCGGAUUUAUUGGGCGUAAAGCGAGCGCAGGCGGUUUGAUAAGUCUGAAGUAAAAGGCUGUGGCUUAACCAUAGUACGCUUUGGAAACUGUCAAACUUGAGUGCAGAAGGGGAGAGUGGAAUUCCAUGUGUAGCGGUGAAAUGCGUAGAUAUAUGGAGGAACACCGGUGGCGAAAGCGGCUCUCUGGUCUGUAACUGACGCUGAGGCUCGAAAGCGUGAGGAGCGAACAGGAUUAGAUACCCUGGUAGUCCACGCCGUAAACGAUGAGUGCUAGGUGUUGAGUCCUUUCCGGGACUCAGUGCCGCAGCUAACGCAUUAAGCACUCCGCCUGGCGAGUACGACCGCAAGGUUGAAACUCAGAGGAAUUGACGGGGGCCCGCACAAGCGGUGGAGCAUGUGGUUUAAUUCGAAGCAACGCGAAGAACCUUACCAGGUCUUGACAUCUCUCUGACCGUCCUAGAGAUAGGGUUUCUCUUCGGAGCAGAGGUGACAGGUGGUGCAUGGUUGUCGUCAGCUCGUGUCGUGAGAUGUUGAGUUAAGUCCCGCAACGAGCGCAACCCCUAUUGUUAGUUGCCAUCAUUUAGUUGGGCACUCUAGCGAGACUGCCGGUAAUAAACCGGAAGAAAGGUGGGGAUGACGUCAAAUCAUCAUGCCCCUUAUGACCUGGGCUACACACGUGCUACAAUGGCUGGUACAACGAGUCGCAAGUCGGUGACGGCAAGCUAAUCUCUUAAAGCCAGUCUCAGUUCGGAUUGUAGGCUGCAACUCGCCUACAUGAAGUCGGAAUCGCUAGUAAUCGCGGAUCAGCACGCCGCGGUGAAUACGUUCCCGGGCCUUGUACACACCGCCCGUCACACCACGAGAGUUUGUAACACCCGAAGUCGGUGAGGUAACCUUUUAGGAGCCAGCCGCCUAAGGUGGAAGAA
This 1175-nucleotide ribosomal RNA is filed under the name Streptococcus suis. Its description in RNAcentral is "bacterial SSU rRNA". It matches the Rfam family "Bacterial small subunit ribosomal RNA", at positions 306 to 1470 of the family's 1533-position model. Lineage: Bacteria; Bacillati; Bacillota; Bacilli; Lactobacillales; Streptococcaceae. The record is from RNAcentral.